GGAAGUAAAAGUUGUAACAAGGUCUCCGUUGGUGAACCAGCGGAGGGAUCAUUACAGAGGUUUCACAACUCCCAACCCUUGCGAACCGUACCCAUUCUGUUCUCGUUGCUUCCGGCGGGGGGGACGGGGGGGCCCGAAACGGCCUCCCCGCCCCGCCCGCCGGGGGCGGCGGGCCCUACGAACCUUUAUAUCUCAACCACCAGAAACCGUCUGAGGAAACAAACAAAAUAAUCAAAACUUUCAACAACGGAUCUCUUGGCUCUG
RNAcentral lists this unclassified non-coding RNA (264 nucleotides) under plant metagenome. RNAcentral's name for it is "partial contains small subunit ribosomal RNA, internal transcribed spacer 1, and 5.8S ribosomal RNA". The stretch from base 1 to 54 matches the Rfam family "Eukaryotic small subunit ribosomal RNA", at positions 1778 to 1831 of the family's 1831-position model. The record is from RNAcentral.